AUACGACCGCAAAAAAAUUUUGUGGUCGUAUAUUGGUAUGACGUUGGCGUCGUCGUCGUCGUCCGAAGACACAUUGGUUUUCGCACUCUAACUUUAGUUUAAGUGAAUGGAUCUCUAUGAAAUUUUACCAUAGGGUUCAAUACCACAGAAGGAAGGUGGGGAUUGAUUUUGGGGGUUAUGGUACCAACAGUUAAGGAAUUAGGGGCCAAAAAAGGGGCCAAAAAUAAGCAUUUUUGUAACUUCCAGACAUAACUUGUGUGUUAGUGUAUGGAUGUCUCUGACAUUGUACCACAAGGUUCCAUUUCACAAAGGGAAUGCUGGGAUUGAUUUUGGGGGUAAUUGCCUCCAAAUUUUAGGAAUUAGGGGCCAAAAAGGGGCAAAAAACAAGCAUUUUUCUAGUUUCAUGACAAUAACUUGUGUGUAAGUGUAUGGAUCUCUCUGACAUUGUACCACAAGGUUCCAUAUCACAAAGGGAAUGCUGGGAUUGAUUUUGGGGGUAAUUGCCUCCAAAUUUUAGGAAUUAGGGGCCAAAAAGGGGCAAAAAACAAGCAUUUUUCUAGUUUCAUGACAAUAACUUGUGUGUAAGUGUAUGGAUCUCUCUGACAUUGUACCACAAGGUUCCAUAUCACAAAGGGAAUGCUGGGAUUGAUUUUGGGGGUAAUUGCCUCCAAAUUUUAGGAAUUAGGGGCCAAAAAGGGGCAAAAAACAAGCAUUUUUCUAGUUUCAUGACAAUAACUUGUGUGUAAGUGUAUGGAUCUCUCUGACAUUGUACCACAAGGUUCCAUAUCACAAAGGGAAUGCUGGAAUUGAUUUUGGGGGUAAUUGCCUCCAAAUUUUAGGAAUUAGGGGCCAAAAAGGGGCAAAAAACGCAUUUUUCUAGUUUCAUGACAAUAACUUGUGUGUAAGUGUAUGGAUCUCUCUGACAUUGUACCACAAGGUUCCAUAUCACAAAGGGAAUGCUGGGAUUGAUUUUGGGGGUAAUUGCCUCCAAAUUUUAGGAAUUAGGGGCCAAAAAGGGGCACAAACAAGCAUUUUUCUAGUUUCAUGACAAUAACUUGUGUGUAAGUGUAUGGGUCUUUAUGAAAUUGUACUACAAGGUUCCAUAUCACAAAGGGAAAGCUGGAAUUGAUUUUGGGGGUAAUUGCCCACAACGUUUAGGAAAAAGGGGCCAAAAAUAAGCAUUUUUCUUAAGUUUCCAGACAAUAACUUGUGUUCAAGUGUAUGGAUCUCUCUGAAAUUGUACUGCAAGGUACCAUACCACAAAGGGAAGGCUGGGAUUGAUUUUGGGGGUUAUUCCCUGGAAAUUUGAGGAAUUAGGGGCCAUAAAGGGGCAAAAAAAACAAGCAUUUUUCUAGUUUCAGGACAAUAACUUGUGUGUAAGUGUAUGGAUCUUUAUGAAAUUGUACUGCAAGGUUCCAUAUCACAAAGGGGAAGCUGGAAUUGAGUUUGGGGGUAAUUGCCUGAAACAUUUAGGAAUAAGGGGCCAAAAAUAAGCAUUUUUCUAGUUUCCAGACAAUAACUUGUGUUCAAGUGUAUGGAUCUCUCUGAAAUUGUACCACAAUGUACCAUAUCACACAGGGAAUGCUGGGAUUGAUUUUGGGGGUAAUUGCCUCAAAAAUUUAGGAAUUAGGGGCCAAAAAAGGGCAAAAAACAAGCAUUUUUCUAGUUUCAUGACAAUAACUUGUGUGUUAGUGUUUGGAUAUUUCUGAAAUUGUACUACAAGGUUCCAUAUCACAAAGGGAAAGCUGGAAUUGAGUUUGGGGGUAAUUGCCCGAAACGUUUAGGAAUUGGGGGCCAAAAAGGGGCCAAAAAACACAUUUUUCUAGUUUCCAGACAAUAACUUGUGUUCAAGUAUAUGGAUCUCUCUGAAAUUGUACUGCAAGGUACCAUACCACAAAGGGAAGGCUGGGAUUGAGUUUGGGGGUGAUGAAUCAUAAGGGGGUUCAAAAAAUUUGGGGGGGGGGGGAUUUUUUUUUUUUUUUUCCUUUUUUUUCUUUUUUUCCUUUUUUUUUCUUUUAA
Molecule: long non-coding RNA, 2019 nt
Organism: Mytilus californianus (California mussel)
Lineage: Eukaryota; Metazoa; Mollusca; Bivalvia; Mytilida; Mytilidae
Exons: 4
Source: RefSeq, a predicted model, not a curated record